RNAcentral lists this ribosomal RNA (432 nucleotides) under uncultured bacterium. Its description in RNAcentral is "bacterial SSU rRNA". It matches the Rfam family "Bacterial small subunit ribosomal RNA", at positions 28 to 505 of the family's 1533-position model. The record is from RNAcentral.
GAUUAACGCUGGCGGUAUGUCUAAUACAUGCAAGUCGAGCGCUCACUUCGGUGAGAGCGGCGAACGGGUGAGUAAUACGUUGGAACCUGCCCUGAACUCAGGGAUAACUCCGAGAAAUCGGAGCUAAUACCGGAUAGUCCCGCAAGGGUAAAGUUUUUUCGGUUCAGGAGGGGCCUUCGUCCUAUCAGCUUGUUGGUGAGGUAAUGGCUUACCAAGGCUAUGACGGGUAACUGGUCUGAGAGGAUGAUCAGUCACAAUGGAACUGAGACACGGUCCAUACUCCUACGGGAGGCAGCAGUAAGGAAUCUUUCGCAAUGGGGGAAACCCUGACGAAGCAAUACCGCGUGGAUGAUGAAGGUCGAAAGAUUGUAAAGUCCUUUUCUGAGGGAAGAAUUCUGACGGUACCUCAGGAAUAAGCACCGGCUAACUCCG